RNAcentral lists this ribosomal RNA (99 nucleotides) under uncultured bacterium. RNAcentral's name for it is "partial 16S ribosomal RNA". The record is from RNAcentral.
CCGGCGUAGAGGGAUUGAAGGCCUUCGGGUCGUAAACCUCUGUCGCCCGGGACGAAGAAUGUGACGGUACCGGAGAGGAAGCUACGGCUAACUACGUGC